This 463-nucleotide unclassified non-coding RNA is filed under the name Hevea brasiliensis (rubber tree). Lineage: Eukaryota; Viridiplantae; Streptophyta; Magnoliopsida; Malpighiales; Euphorbiaceae. The record is from RNAcentral.
AAAAGAAAAAAAAAUACAAGGCAAAUUCAUGCUCUGAAAAAACUGCCGGAUAGAUAUAUAAUAGAAGCUUCAAGUCAGGUCAUCAAGCCAGAAAAAGCUCAGGAAAAAAAUUAUUAACUGGAGGCAGAGCUCUAGAGAGGUUUAGCCUCCAUGGCCUUGUCGAUUGAAGAUGAAAGAACUCAAGAAGAAGAAACAAGGGACGAAUGUGUGAUAUUUAUUCUUCAAAAAAUGGAACACAAAAGCGAAGCAACGCCUAUACUUGAACAAGGGGUCAUGAAAGAAAUGGCAGGGUUCUGACAUUGUCAGCCUUUUCUGGCUUGCCCGCCCGCCGCAGGCCAACUUCAGAGAAAAUGCGCGCAUUUUUACCUGUAUGGAAGAUGAAUGUCCCAUUCGAAACUAUAGAACGUUAACUCCACAAUUUUGUUCGCCUGCUCCAAUUGCCCAAUUGCUCUGCUGACCUGAG